This 214-nucleotide long non-coding RNA is filed under the name Ananas comosus (pineapple). RNAcentral describes it as "long non-coding RNA (ACOM_LNC000891)". Lineage: Eukaryota; Viridiplantae; Streptophyta; Magnoliopsida; Poales; Bromeliaceae. The record is from RNAcentral.
UAUUCUCCGUGAGGAAUUCUACACUAUCACACUUGCACCACGUCAUUAAUAACAAGCCAAUUAUAUUCCUAAUUUUCAAAUAAAAGUAUAAUAAAAAUAUUUUUUUACAAUCAUGAUAAGACAUAUAUUUCUGAAAAGAGAUAUUUGAUUGACUUGUUACGUCACGUCAACAAUGUCAACAAUAUACCACCCGUUGUAUUCUAAAAUUUUUUCC